GACGAACGCUGGCGGCGUGCCUAAUACAUGCGAGUCGAACGCUUCUUUCCUCCCGAGUGCUUGCACUCAAUUGGAAAGAGGAGUGGCGGACGGGUGAGUAACACGUGGGUAACCUACCCAUCAGAGGGGGAUAACACUUGGAAACAGGUGCUAAUACCGCAUAACAGUUUAUGCCGCAUGGCAUAAGAGUGAAAGGCGCUUUCGGGUGUCGCUGAUGGAUGGACCCGCGGUGCAUUAGCUAGUUGGUGAGGUAACGGCUCACCAAGGCCACGAUGCAUAGCCGACCUGAGAGGGUGAUCGGCCACACUGGGACUGAGACACGGCCCAGACUCCUACGGGAGGCAGCAGUAGGGAAUCUUCGGCAAUGGACGAAAGUCUGACCGAGCAACGCCGCGUGAGUGAAGAAGGUUUUCGGAUCGUAAAACUCUGUUGUUAGAGAAGAACAAGGACGUUAGUAACUGAACGUCCCCUGACGGUAUCUAACCAGAAAGACACGGCUAACUACGUG
Molecule: ribosomal RNA, 508 nt
Filed under: uncultured bacterium
Lineage: Bacteria
Description: partial 16S ribosomal RNA
Rfam family: Bacterial small subunit ribosomal RNA
Source: RNAcentral